This 432-nucleotide ribosomal RNA is filed under the name uncultured bacterium. Its description in RNAcentral is "partial 16S ribosomal RNA". It matches the Rfam family "Bacterial small subunit ribosomal RNA", at positions 29 to 507 of the family's 1533-position model. The record is from RNAcentral.
ACGAACGCUGGCGGCCUGCCUAACACAUGCAAGUCGAACGAGACCUUCGGGUCUAGUGGCGCACGGGUGCGUAACGCGUGGGAACCUGCCCUUAGGUUCGGAAUAACUCCCCGAAAGGGGUGCUAAUACCGGAUAAUGUCUUCGGACCAAAGAUUUAUCGCCUUUGGAUGGGCCCGCGUUGGAUUAGCUAGUUGGUAGGGUAAAAGCCUACCAAGGCGACGAUCCAUAGCUGGUCUGAGAGGAUGAUCAGCCACACUGGGACUGAGACACGGCCCAGACUCCUACGGGAGGCAGCAGUGGGGAAUAUUGGACAAUGGGCGAAAGCCUGAUCCAGCAAUGCCGCGUGAGUGAUGAAGGCCUUAGGGUUGUAAAGCUCUUUUACCCGGGAUGAUAAUGACAGUACCGGGAGAAUAAGCUCCGGCUAACUCCGUG